This is an RNA transcript of Phragmites australis (common reed), 1378 nucleotides long. It is a transcript of the gene named nuclear transcription factor Y subunit C-6-like, with no coding region annotated. The record is from RefSeq and is a predicted model, not a curated record. The transcript has 3 exons. NCBI's taxonomy places the organism in Eukaryota, Viridiplantae, Streptophyta, Magnoliopsida, Poales, Poaceae.
UCUCGCAAAGGUGGCUCCUUUCUUCCCGUUCCCCCGCAUCGGCGACGCCACCGAAGAAACCACCUCCCCCCCCCCCCCCCCCACACCUCAAUCGGUCAGUCCCCCACCUCCGAAACCCUAGCAAUGGAGCCCAAAUCCACCACCCCUCCGCCUCCCCCAGUCCUGGGAGCGCCCGUCGCGUACCCUCCGGCUGCCGCGUACCCCGGCCCCGGCGCCGUCGCCUAUCCGGCGGCCGCGCUCUACCCCUCUCCGCCGCCCCCUCCCCCAGCCGCCGCGCACCAGCAGCAGGGCGCCGCGACGCAGCAGCAGCUGCAGAUGUUCUGGGCGGAGCAGUACCGCGAGAUUGAAGCAACCACCGACUUCAAGAACCACAACCUGCCCCUCGCCCGCAUCAAGAAGAUCAUGAAGGCCGACGAGGACGUCCGCAUGAUCGCCGCCGAGGCGCCCGUCGUCUUCGCCCGGGCCUGCGAGAUGUUCAUCCUCGAGCUCACCCACCGCGGCUGGGCGCACGCUGAGGAGAACAAGCGCCGCACGCUCCAGAAGUCCGACAUCGCCGCUGCCGUCGCGCGCACCGAGGUCUUCGACUUCCUCGUCGACAUCGUGCCCCGCGACGAGGCCAAGGACGCCGAGGCCGCCAUCGGCGUCGGUGCGGGGAUCCCCCACCCUGCCGCCGGCAUGCCCGCCACCGAUCCCAUGGCGUACUACUACGUCCAGCCGCAGUAACCCAUUUCCAUCUCUCUUACUAGCUUCGAGCCUUUCGACUUUUAGUAAAUUAUUGAGAGUGUGCUGUUGUUCCCCUUGUUAUGUUGUUGCCGCCGAAUAACUUGGCGUGAUGAUCAUCUGAUGUGCCUCCUCUUUAUUAUACUCGAUUUCAGAUAUGAAAGAGGUGGUUGUAAUUGAGAGAGGGAAGCCGUAUGAUGGUGAUGAUUCUGCGUAACAGAUACUCCUGCCACAAUUAUUAAUUAUGUGGAUAUUCCAAGCGCUGCAUAUCCAAGGUUUCCUUUGGCUCGACAUCCAGUGAACUGCAAUACUGGACUUGGUGUGUGUUGAAAUGGGUAGAUCAUUUUUUUGCUUAACUUGGCUUUAUAAUUUCUGGGCAUCUUAAGCGAAGUAUAUUUGCUGCAAACACACGCAUUGGAGCUUUAUGGAGUAAUCAUGAUUUGACAUGGUAAACUCGUGUUUGCCUUUAAUUCAGGUAAGCGGAUGUUGCUGCUCCAUAAUUUUGAUGUGUAUGAUGGAGUAAUAGCUUGCAGCAGAUUUUGAUGUACUACUAAUGGAGCAUGACAAAAAUAUCUGGAUGUCAUCAAUUUCUGCUUCUAAAAGAAAACUGUAAUCACGUGGGAGGAGGCACUGGGUGCUCAGGGCUCAUCGAAACCUG